Antechinus flavipes (yellow-footed antechinus) is the source of this 2083-nucleotide RNA transcript. It is a transcript of the gene named golgin A7, with no coding region annotated. The record is from RefSeq and is a predicted model, not a curated record. The transcript has 7 exons. NCBI's taxonomy places the organism in Eukaryota, Metazoa, Chordata, Mammalia, Dasyuromorphia, Dasyuridae.
GUCGGCGAAGGGAGAAGAUUUUAGGGUGGGGGGAGAGGAGGCUUGUUUGCAGCAGGUCGUAAGUGAGGGGCGAGGCCGCGCGACAGCCGCUGGAGGGCCACGGAGGAGGCGGCGCAGCGCGGCCCGGCCCCGCCCGCCCGCCAUGAGGCCACAGCAGGCGCCCGUGUCCGGCAAGGUCUUCAUCCAGCGGGACUACAGCAGCGGUACCCGGUGCCAGUUCCAGACCAAGUUCCCCGCCGAGUUGGAAAACCGGAUUGACCGGCAGCAGUUUGAAGAAACAGUUCGUACUCUAAAUAACCUUUAUGCUGAAGCAGAAAAACUUGGGGGCCAGUCUUACCUUGAAGGCUGUUUAGCCUGUUUGACAGCAUAUACUAUCUUUUUGUGCAUGGAAACACAUUAUGAGAAGGUUCUGAAGAAAAUCACCAAAUAUAUUCAGGAACAGAAUGAGAAGAUUUAUGCUCCACAAGGCCUCCUUCUGACAGACCCAAUUGAGAGAGGACUUCGUGUUAUUGAAAUUACCAUUUAUGAAGACAGAGGCAUGAGCAGUGGAAGAUAAACCAUGGAGUCUAAGAUUAUUUUUAUAUAUUAGACUAGCCUCCUCACAUGACUGCUCAGGCCCUGCCAUCAAUCAGUUCACAUAGAAAUAGUCUGUCUCAGAAUGGGACUCUCUUCUGUCCACUGGCCAACUGCAGAGUGUCCCCUACCUCCUCUCCAAGCAUCAUUCCUUUGUAUCUGCUGCCAGAGCCAUGGUGCCAUUCUACUCCAAGGACUAACUUUCUAAAAUUCCGCUCCUGGAGUGACAUCUAGUCACUCAGCAUCCACUUUGUGUCUUUAAACUGUGUAGGACUAUGUAAUCUUUGUAGUUAUUUCUGAGAAACUAUAAUGAAGCAUUUCACUUUUUUAAUUCAAAACAGUUUAAUGAGCUGUGUAAAUCAGCCCAAUCCAAAAUCCAUUUCUCAUCUGCCACCAGGACGAUUGGUUCUGCUCAGUAUUUAUGCUGUCAUCUCUACCAGGUGGUUGUUUUUUUUUUUUUUUAAUUUCAGCAAGUUAUAGCCAGGUUUGGUUUCAUUUCCCCUGAAUUGAAGAAUGUUUUUUUCUUCUGGGCAUGAUUUUUGAUGAGGGGUAAACUAUGCCUGUGGCCUGCUGACACAUCUCCUAGACCUCAAGAAACUCACAGGAUUACCAGAAGAUCUGUUUCUACUGUUAGUUUCUCAUACUGAAGCUCAUUGGAAAGAUAAUGUAUAAUGCUAUUUGUUUUUAAUGUAGCACUUAAUACUAAGUGAACCAGUAUUUUAUGUGAUUUCCAGUUACCUUGAUUCUCCUUGGAGAAUUUUAUAUCAUUACUGCAUUGCCAUGAACAUUGGGAGGAUGUAGUAUGUGUUGCUUGUUUUAUUAAAACUAUGUAAGCACAAUAAAGUGGAUGCUAAACCAUCAGACCUAUAGACAUCCUUGCUCUGUCCCUUAAUGUGUAAUAAGCAAGUGUAAUGAACAUUUUCCUUAUGGCUUUAUUAUAAAUAUAACUUAUGAGGAAAAUAAUUUGGUAGGAAUAAUACUGUAUGUGCUCAUUUUUAACUAUUUCCAUUGGCAGAAUUUAUGAAUCAUAAGCCUUUCUAGAAUUCAGUAUUCAGGAUGCACAUAGGUCUUUUAAUUAGUUCAGGUAAAAUAAUAUGAAUGUUUUCUGAGUAAAACUCCCAAAAAUCCAAGUCAUUAUUUUUGUUUUUCUCUUACCUACAUUUUUCAUGACAGUGUUUUCCAAGACUUUAAAAUUAAGUUUAUCAUUAUGGUUUGAGAGCAUUGUUCUUUGGAAAGAGCUAAGGGAUUUACUAGAAAAGAAUUAAAGAAUUAAAGUUCUACUUCCAGUGAUAUUGUAGGUGCUAAUACUGGAUCUAAUCUUCCAGAUUUAAUUUCUGUUAUGGAUUUGUUAGUCAUUCUCCUAAAUCCCAGAGGCUUGUUUAAUAUUUUAAUUGUAUAAAACCUUUUUUGUUUUUCUAUAGCCUGUAACAGUAUGUCUGUCUGCCUUUCACACUCAUUGCAAUAACUUUGCCCAACUACUAAUGCAUUAGUAAAACUUUUCUUAAAUAAA